UUUCCGUAGGUGAACCUGCGGAAGGAUCAUUACUGAGUGAGGGCCCCUCGGGGUCCGACCUCCCACCCGUGUUUAACGAACCUUGUUGCUUCGGCGGGCCCGCCUCACGGCGGCCGGGGGGCAUCUGCCCACGGGCCCGCGCCGGCCGAAGCCACCUGUCAACGCUGUCUAAAGUAGGCAGUCUGAGACAAUUAUUGAAUUAAUUAAAACUUUCAACAACGGAUCUCUUGGUUCCG
Molecule: unclassified non-coding RNA, 236 nt
Filed under: plant metagenome
Description: partial contains small subunit ribosomal RNA, internal transcribed spacer 1, and 5.8S ribosomal RNA
Source: RNAcentral